This 253-nucleotide ribosomal RNA is filed under the name Acidobacterium sp. RNAcentral describes it as "partial 16S ribosomal RNA". It matches the Rfam family "Bacterial small subunit ribosomal RNA", at positions 524 to 776 of the family's 1533-position model. The record is from RNAcentral. RNAcentral also lists the same sequence under 1 other name. Lineage: Bacteria; Pseudomonadati; Acidobacteriota; Terriglobia; Terriglobales; Acidobacteriaceae.
UACGUAGGCAGCAAGCGUUGUUCGGAGUUACUGGGCGUAAAGGGUGCGUAGGCGGCCUUAUAAGUAUGGUGUGAAAUCUCCCGGCUUAACUGGGAGGGUGCGCUAUAGACUGUGGGGCUAGAGUGUGGGAGAGGAAAGUGGAAUUCCUGGUGUAGCGGUGAAAUGCGUAGAUAUCAGGAGGAACACCGGUGGUGUAAACGGCUUUCUGGACCAUAACUGACGCUGAGGCACGAAAGCGUGGGUAGCAAACAGG